This 389-nucleotide ribosomal RNA is filed under the name uncultured bacterium. Its description in RNAcentral is "bacterial SSU rRNA". It matches the Rfam family "Bacterial small subunit ribosomal RNA", at positions 30 to 408 of the family's 1533-position model. The record is from RNAcentral.
AUUGAACGCUGGCGGCGUGCUUAACACAUGCAAGUCGAGCGAGAAGACGUAGCAAUACGUUUGUAAAGCGGCGAACGGGUGAGGAAUACAUGGGUAACCUACCCUCGAGUGGGGAAUAACUAGCCGAAAGGUUAGCUAAUACCGCGUACGCUCCUUGGACUUCGGUUCAGGGAGGAAAGCGAUACCGUGGGUAUCGCGCUCUUGGUUGGGCUCAUGUCCUAUCAGCUUGUUGGUGAGGUAACGGCUCACCAAGGCUUCGACGGGUAGCUGGUCUGAGAGGACGAUCAGCCACACUGGCACUGCGACACGGGCCAGACUCCUACGGGAGGCAGCAGUAAGGAAUAUUGCGCAAUGGGCGAAAGCCUGACGCAGCGACGCCGCGUGGGGGA